AGCUCCCACCGGUGAGAGCUCCAGAAGCUCUGCUUCACAACGCACUAAACCUGCAGGUGAGAGCUCCAGAAGCUCUGCUUCACAACGCAAUAAACCUGCAGGAAAAAGCUCCAAAAGUGCUACAGGAAGACAUUAGUGCUUCUUAGUGUAAAAGCCUUCAAUUAUCAUAAAAUUGUAGUUGUAUUUCAGGGUAUUCUUAUGACACAGCCAUUGCAUUAUUGAGUGAUAACAUGAAAUGACAGUCAAACUGAUUGUUGAAGUAAAUUUUUCAUCAUAUUUCUAUUCCUCUUUAUAACCAUUUGAUUUGUUAGAAGAAAGUGAAUGAUUUGCUGUUCAGUUAUACAACAAGCUUCUUCCUAGUUUAUAUUCCCAAAUGGCUCUCAUGGAAAAUUUGACUUGGAAACAAUUAACAUUGUGAUCAUUCUAUAUUAUUUACAUUAGAUUUGGCAACAGAUUAAGAUAGUCUGUACUCAAAAUGGUGAUUGGGAUGUCAAUGCAAUCUGGCAUCCCUACAUGACCAUCUCCUCCAGAAGUGUGCAUAUGCUUUAUAUCGAACCAAACCUGUUCCAGCAUGACAAUGCUUCUGUGCACAAUGUGAGGUCCAGGUCAGUGGUUAAGGCAAUGGGCUACUUUUUGGAAGGCCAUGAGUUCAAAUCCCAGCACAGUCAAUUGGAUUCUGUUGGGGGUCUUUGAGCAAGACCCUCAACUGCUCACUUGUAUCCUGUGAAUAGCUAUAGGCAUUGGAAUUAGUCCAACACAAGGCUUAAUCCAUGUUCUGGAAAUCAGCCUGUUAUAAUUUAUAUCCAGCUGUGCAAUGUGCCUCUUUAGACUGAGGGUUAUUAAUAAUGCAGUAAGUUGUGUUUCCACUACAGGGAAAAGGUGGGUCUGCAUUAUGUGGCACAAUUGUUUAAUAUUCUUGACAAUGACCUAGUCAUUUGAAAACACUAUUUCAUACACUGUGAUCUUCAUAUUGGAUUACAUCACUAAAUUAGUCAAACGGCUAGUUGUAUUCUGUAAUAAUAAAUAAUAAUGAGUCUUUAUUGGUCAGGUAUACAUUACAGCACAGUGAAAUUCUUUUCUUCGCAUACCCCAGCAUGUCAGGAAGCUGGGGUCAGAGCACAGGGUCAGCCAAACCACUUGAAAUCAACUCGAACUGAUGAGACAUUCAUACGAAUUUGAAGCUACAUGGGCAAUCGGGAUGGAUAUAGAAUUCAUGCUUUAUGUAUGAAGUCAUUACAAAAAAAAACAAAAAAAAAACAGAAACGUGAUACUAAUCCUAACCUUUUUAAUCCCAACUUUACAUACAAAGCUGUGUGAAUUGUUCAAUUUCUUGCAUAUAAAACUGAUAAAAUGUUGGUGUGCGUGCGCAUUUAAGUGUUGGUUAAGGGUACUUCGUCAGAGUAUUAAAAAAUAAAUAAAUAAAAUACAGUGUUCCUGUCAUUUACGUCAACUCCCCUAACAUUUUCUGUACAUUAUGUUGACGGUUGCCAUUUUUACAUGGAUUUGUAAUUUGCAUACUUUCCUUGACAAGCUUACUGCAGAUUAUUGAUAGUUUUCUGUUAUUAUUAAACGCCUUAAGGAUGAUUUAUAACGCUGUAUAUUUUCAGACUCUCAUCAAUCUUCAUGAUCACUGAUAUUAUGAGAUAACUAUUCAUCUGUCUUCACGUUGUUGUUUUGCAGUUUGUCACUGUACUUUUCUCAAAAUUGACUAACAGCGGAAUUAAAUCUGAUCUAUAUUAUAUAACAGAUUGGGAAGUGGUGGUUUAUUGAAUGUUUGACAGUGUAUAACUGCCUGUGUAUAAAUACCUUAGUGCUUUUUUUUGCUUUUUGUGCAGUACAGAAUGUGUUGCAAAUUCCACAUCUGGAAUAUCUUCACAGCAUAACAACUAACAGACAUAGUGAUCACAUUUUUUCCUAUAAUACGUUAGAGAUUAAGGCUUAUAUAGCCUACAUAAAGCCAGCUCACAGCUCAAGGGUCAAUCCUGAGCAUGUUACUGUAAACGUAGAGGUUUUACGGAUGUUCUCCCUGUGCCUGUGUGGGUUUCCUCCGGGUUCUCUGGUGUCCUCUCACCUUCAGUACUGAAUGAGUGUGUGCAUGGUGCCUUGCAAUGAACCAGUAUCCCAUCCAGGGUGUAUUUCUGCCUCGCGCCCAGUGUAUCUGGGAUUGGCUUCAGACCUGAGCGUGAGGAUGAAGUGGUUACUGAAAGUGAGUGAGGGAUGUCAAGCUGGUUACUGAUCCAACAUUAAACACAGUCAGUCAAUCCCGGAGCAUUUCGCAGAGGUUUUUUUUUUUUUUU
Long non-coding RNA from Ictalurus punctatus (channel catfish), 2297 nucleotides. The record is from Ensembl. NCBI's taxonomy places the organism in Eukaryota, Metazoa, Chordata, Actinopteri, Siluriformes, Ictaluridae.